GAUGAACGCUGGCGGCGUGCCUAACACAUGCAAGUCCAACGAGAAUACCCCGAUGUUUCGGCGGAUGGGUAUUCGAGUGGCGGACGGGUGAGUAACGCGUGGGUAACCUGCCCUGUACCGGGGGAUAACAGUUAGAAAUGACUGCUAAUACCGCAUAAGCGCACAGUACCGCAUGGUACAGUGUGAAAAAACUCCGGUGGUACAGGAUGGACCCGCGUCUGAUUAGCCAGUUGGCGGGGUAACGGCCCACCAAAGCGACGAUCAGUAGCCGACCUGAGAGGGUGACCGGCCACAUUGGGACUGAGACACGGCCCAAACUCC
Molecule: ribosomal RNA, 321 nt
Filed under: uncultured Lachnospiraceae bacterium
Lineage: Bacteria; Bacillati; Bacillota; Clostridia; Lachnospirales; Lachnospiraceae
Description: bacterial SSU rRNA
Rfam family: Bacterial small subunit ribosomal RNA
Source: RNAcentral